UACGAAGGGGGCUAGCGUUUUUCGGAAUUACUGGGCGUAAAGCGCACGUAGGCGGGUUUGUAAGUAGGGGGUGAAAUCCCAGGGCUCAACCCUGGAACUGCCUUCUAGACUGCAAGCCUGGAGGUCAGGAGAGGCGAGUGGAAUACCGAGCGUAGAGGUGAAAUUCGUAGAUAUUCGGUGGAACACCAGUGGCGAAGGCGACUCGCUGGACUGAUACUGACGCUGAGGUGCGAAAGCGUGGGGAGCAAACAGG
RNAcentral lists this ribosomal RNA (253 nucleotides) under uncultured bacterium. Its description in RNAcentral is "partial 16S ribosomal RNA". It matches the Rfam family "Bacterial small subunit ribosomal RNA", at positions 524 to 776 of the family's 1533-position model. The record is from RNAcentral.